Molecule: long non-coding RNA, 672 nt
Organism: Syzygium oleosum
Lineage: Eukaryota; Viridiplantae; Streptophyta; Magnoliopsida; Myrtales; Myrtaceae
Exons: 2
Source: RefSeq, a predicted model, not a curated record
CAGAAAAACUUCAAAUACAUGGACAAGACUGGACCAUAAUUUGAUCGAUCACCGGUACUCAUGGAGGAAAUACGGUCAGAAAUUGACUCUCAACCGCAAAUUCCCCAAGUGCUACUUCAGGUGCGCUUUCAGAUUCGACCAGAAAUGUCUAGCAACCAAACAAGUCCAAAAGAUGCUGAAUGACCCACCCGUUUACGAGGCCGUAUACCGAGGCCACCACACUUGCGGAAACCCCAUCCUCGAAUCGACCCCAAUCAUCCUGGAUUCACCGAGCCCUAGGGACUCCUCAAUCCUCUUCAGUUUCCACGCUAGCCUCAUUGCCAAACAAGACAACAACCACCACCCUAUCUCUUCUCCUUCAACUUUCUCAUAAGUGAAUCAGGAGCAAAAGUUGCCCAGUUAGUGAGGAUGAUGUGAACCCCCACGGCCACAGCCAUGACAGACGAUAGCAACAACAACAAUCAAUCCGCAUCAUCCGAUUAUUACGCUGUAUUCAAAUCCGCGGGGGAGAUCUAGCCCUGUCGUCAGAUCAAGGGGAUGUGAUGUUUAGCGUCUCAUAGCUUUGAUAUGAUUGUGGGGUCCGAGUUUGAUGAUCUGUUGGAUUAUGAACUUCAAUGUUGAUUUUGGUGUAGGUUUCUUCAUUAUUGUGCGACGUGUUUGCUAGAUGAGUUU